UAAGGAAUAUUGGUCAAUGGACGCAAGUCUGAACCAGCCAUGCCGCGUGAAGGAUGAAGGUCCUCUGGAUCGUAAACUUCUUUUAUGUGGGAAGAAACCACUCUUUUCUAAGGGUGUUGACGGUACCAUAGGAAUAAGCACCGGCUAACUCCGUGCCAGCAGCCGCGGUAAUACGGAGGGUGCAAGCGUUAUCCGGAUUCACUGGGUUUAAAGGGUGCGUAGGCGGAUUAGUAAGUCCGUGGUGAAAUCUCCAAGCUUAACUUGGAAACUGCCAUGGAUACUAUUAAUCUUGAAUGUUGUGGAGGUUAGCGGAAUAUGUCAUGUAGCGGUGAAAUGCAUAGAUAUGACAUAGAACACCAAUUGCGAAGGCAGCUGGCUACACAAAUAUUGACGCUGAUGCACGAAAGCGUGGGGAUCAAACA
RNAcentral lists this ribosomal RNA (422 nucleotides) under uncultured Chitinophaga sp. RNAcentral describes it as "bacterial SSU rRNA". It matches the Rfam family "Bacterial small subunit ribosomal RNA", at positions 355 to 774 of the family's 1533-position model. Lineage: Bacteria; Pseudomonadati; Bacteroidota; Chitinophagia; Chitinophagales; Chitinophagaceae. The record is from RNAcentral.